This 1310-nucleotide ribosomal RNA is filed under the name Vibrio alginolyticus. RNAcentral describes it as "bacterial SSU rRNA". It matches the Rfam family "Bacterial small subunit ribosomal RNA", at positions 65 to 1360 of the family's 1533-position model. The record is from RNAcentral. Lineage: Bacteria; Pseudomonadati; Pseudomonadota; Gammaproteobacteria; Vibrionales; Vibrionaceae.
AACGAGUUAUCUGAACCUUCGGGGAACGAUAACGGCGUCGAGCGGCGGACGGGUGAGUAAUGCCUAGGAAAUUGCCCUGAUGUGGGGGAUAACCAUUGGAAACGAUGGCUAAUACCGCAUGAUGCCUACGGGCCAAAGAGGGGGACCUUCGGGCCUCUCGCGUCAGGAUAUGCCUAGGUGGGAUUAGCUAGUUGGUGAGGUAAGGGCUCACCAAGGCGACGAUCCCUAGCUGGUCUGAGAGGAUGAUCAGCCACACUGGAACUGAGACACGGUCCAGACUCCUACGGGAGGCAGCAGUGGGGAAUAUUGCACAAUGGGCGCAAGCCUGAUGCAGCCAUGCCGCGUGUGUGAAGAAGGCCUUCGGGUUGUAAAGCACUUUCAGUCGUGAGGAAGGUGGUGUAGUUAAUAGCUGCAUUAUUUGACGUUAGCGACAGAAGAAGCACCGGCUAACUCCGUGCCAGCAGCCGCGGUAAUACGGAGGGUGCGAGCGUUAAUCGGAAUUACUGGGCGUAAAGCGCAUGCAGGUGGUUUGUUAAGUCAGAUGUGAAAGCCCGGGGCUCAACCUCGGAAUAGCAUUUGAAACUGGCAGACUAGAGUACUGUAGAGGGGGGUAGAAUUUCAGGUGUAGCGGUGAAAUGCGUAGAGAUCUGAAGGAAUACCGGUGGCGAAGGCGGCCCCCUGGACAGAUACUGACACUCAGAUGCGAAAGCGUGGGGAGCAAACAGGAUUAGAUACCCUGGUAGUCCACGCCGUAAACGAUGUCUACUUGGAGGUUGUGGCCUUGAGCCGUGGCUUUCGGAGCUAACGCGUUAAGUAGACCGCCUGGGGAGUACGGUCGCAAGAUUAAAACUCAAAUGAAUUGACGGGGGCCCGCACAAGCGGUGGAGCAUGUGGUUUAAUUCGAUGCAACGCGAAGAACCUUACCUACUCUUGACAUCCAGAGAACUUUCCAGAGAUGGAUUGGUGCCUUCGGGAACUCUGAGACAGGUGCUGCAUGGCUGUCGUCAGCUCGUGUUGUGAAAUGUUGGGUUAAGUCCCGCAACGAGCGCAACCCUUAUCCUUGUUUGCCAGCGAGUAAUGUCGGGAACUCCAGGGAGACUGCCGGUGAUAAACCGGAGGAAGGUGGGGACGACGUCAAGUCAUCAUGGCCCUUACGAGUAGGGCUACACACGUGCUACAAUGGCGCAUACAGAGGGCGGCCAACUUGCGAAAGUGAGCGAAUCCCAAAAAGUGCGUCGUAGUCCGGAUUGGAGUCUGCAACUCGACUCCAUGAAGUCGGAAUCGCUAGUAAUCGUGGAUCAGAAUGCCAC